ACGUGGAUGUGGACUUGAUA
This 20-nucleotide microRNA is filed under the name Ciona intestinalis (vase tunicate). RNAcentral's name for it is "cin-miR-4087-3p". The record is from miRBase by way of RNAcentral. Lineage: Eukaryota; Metazoa; Chordata; Ascidiacea; Phlebobranchia; Cionidae.